Dreissena polymorpha is the source of this 254-nucleotide long non-coding RNA. RefSeq lists it as uncharacterized. The record is from RefSeq and is a predicted model, not a curated record. NCBI's taxonomy places the organism in Eukaryota, Metazoa, Mollusca, Bivalvia, Myida, Dreissenidae. The transcript is spliced from 3 exons.
UUAAAAAGAUCAAGUGUGCAAGCGGCUGGCUACAGUACGGCUACCUAUGCUAUUACAUCAACCAUGCUCUGCUCGUCUGGCAGCCGGCGCUGGACGCAUGCAGAUCGUGGCAUGGAUCACUUGUUGAGAUAGAUGAAAUUGGCAAAACGGAGUUUUUUGUCAGCCUUCUACAGUCUAACGAUACUGUGGACUAUUUCACAGGCGGCAGAUACAACGCAACUUUACGAAAAUUUGAAUGGGUCGGCAGCAAGACC